Non-coding RNA from Thunnus maccoyii (southern bluefin tuna), 347 nucleotides. RefSeq annotates it as small Cajal body-specific RNA 2. The record is from RefSeq and is a predicted model, not a curated record. Lineage: Eukaryota; Metazoa; Chordata; Actinopteri; Scombriformes; Scombridae. The transcript has a single exon.
UGUGAAUGGCGGGUGAGUGGGUUGUGGUGAUGUGUGUCUGGUGAGUGUUUGUGUUUGGUGAUUGUUUGAGUGUGUGUGAAUGUGUGUAUUUCUGUUAAAAACCUACACAGUGAUCUUAUUUGAUCCGGUUUGAGUCUGGCUCUGCUCGAACCGGAGAUGAUAGGAAAAAACGCUCUCGAGCCUCUUUGGCGCUGAGUAGCAGGCACUAUUUCACCUCCAGGGCCUCCACGCUGCACAGUGUGGUUUAGACGUGAUGAAUUGAUCAGAUAUACUAGUUCGGGAUGAGUUUGGGGUUCAUACUCCAAACUUCACAACGGACACUGAGUAAAGAGGCGAUUCUGAUCUAA